Molecule: ribosomal RNA, 112 nt
Filed under: Caerostris darwini
Lineage: Eukaryota; Metazoa; Arthropoda; Arachnida; Araneae; Araneidae
Source: RNAcentral
AACGGCCCUACCAUGCUGAAUAUACCGGUUCUCGUUAGAUCACCGAAGGUCAAGCAUCAUUGGGCGCGGUCAGUACUUGGGUGGGUGACCACCUGGGAACACCGCGUGCCGU